AGUGAACACUGGCGGUAGGCCUAACGCAUGCAAGUCGAACGGCAGCACAGGAGAGCUUGCUCUCUGGGUGGCGAGUGGCGGACGGGUGAGGAAUACAUCGGAAUCUACUCUGUCGUGGGGGAUAACGUAGGGAAACUUACGCUAAUACCGCAUACGACCUACGGGUGAAAGCAGGGGACCUUCGGGCCUUGCGCGAUUGAAUGAGCCGAUGUCGGAUUAGCUAGUUGGCGGGGUAAAGGCCCACCAAGGCGACGAUCCGUAGCUGGUCUGAGAGGAUGAUCAGCCACACUGGAACUGAGACACGGUCCAGACUCCUACGGGAGGCAGCAGUGGGGAAUAAUGGACAAUGGGCGCAAGCCUGAUCCAGCCAUACCGCGUGGGUGAAGAAGGCCUUCGGGUUGUAAAGCCCUUUUGUUGGGAAAGAAAUCCAGCUGGCUAAUACCCGGUUGGGAUGACGGUACCCAAAGAAUAAGCACCGGCUAACUUCGUGCCAGCCGCCGCGGUAA
RNAcentral lists this ribosomal RNA (506 nucleotides) under uncultured bacterium. Its description in RNAcentral is "partial 16S ribosomal RNA". It matches the Rfam family "Bacterial small subunit ribosomal RNA", at positions 29 to 523 of the family's 1533-position model. The record is from RNAcentral.